RNAcentral lists this ribosomal RNA (467 nucleotides) under uncultured bacterium. RNAcentral describes it as "partial 16S ribosomal RNA". It matches the Rfam family "Bacterial small subunit ribosomal RNA", at positions 28 to 507 of the family's 1533-position model. The record is from RNAcentral.
GACGAACGCUGGCGGCGUGCUUAACACAUGCAAGUCGAACGGAAAGGCCUCAGCUUGCUGGGGUACUCGAGUGGCGAACGGGUGAGUAACACGUGGGUGAUCUGCCUUGCACUCUGGGAUAAGCUUGGGAAACUGGGUCUAAUACCGGAUAUGAACUGCCUUUAGUGUGGUGGUUGGAAAGUUUUUUCGGUGCAAGAUGAGCUCGCGGCCUAUCAGCUUGUUGGUGGGGUAAUGGCCUACCAAGGCGUCGACGGGUAGCCGGCCUGAGAGGGUGUACGGCCACAUUGGGACUGAGAUACGGCCCAGACUCCUACGGGAGGCAGCAGUGGGGAAUGUUGCACAAUGGGCGGAAGCCUGAUGCAGCGACGCCGCGUGGGGGAUGACGGCCUUCGGGUUGUAAACUCCUUUCGACAGGGACGAAGCUUUUUGUGACGGUACCUGUAUAAGAAGCACCGGCUAACUACGUG